Mya arenaria is the source of this 2305-nucleotide long non-coding RNA. RefSeq lists it as uncharacterized. The record is from RefSeq and is a predicted model, not a curated record. The transcript has 2 exons. NCBI's taxonomy places the organism in Eukaryota, Metazoa, Mollusca, Bivalvia, Myida, Myidae.
AGGCAGAGCACUGAACAACCUUAACAAUACCUACAUAGUACCCUCAUAUUUUCGUAUACCAUACACUCAGUACGUAUUUUAUACUUUGUACUUUGCGUUAGACGGAACGAUUCGCGAAAGAUGGCCUGUCAGGUUUAUUACUGGACGUCAGAAUCCAUAAAAAAUAAAUCAUUUGGACAUAUUUCAAUGCAAACGGGCAAUGGAACAUACAUAAGUUUCUGGCCGGAAAAUGUUCCAUCCAUUAAGCAUUAUAAAAAAGGGGUAGUGAGCAGCUGUUGGAUAUCCUCCCUUGAGGAAGAGAUAAAGAAAUAUAAAAGCCCUGAUUUUACCAUUACUGUUCCUGAUAUGGACAAUAACGCUAUAGACCGAUGGUUUGCUGAUUUUAGGAAACAGGAACCAAAAUGGAAUCUUCAUUCGCACAGCUGCAGCAGUGUGGUUUAUAAUGCGCUCUGUGCCGGCUCGAGCAAAUUCUGCAAAUCAGUGAAAAAGUACAUCCCAGUCACGACACCUGGAAGUUUGUUUCGAAUGAUUGAAGCCAUCACCAGCGGCAACUAAAGUCCCAUCGUGGCUGGAUAGUGAAAAAACGAAAUAAAAUAUCAGAGUUUUUUACUAACUGUUUCUCAAACGUAAUGCAGACAGUAGUAAAUACCGAUAUGUGUACAGGUAACAAUAAUAAAACAGAUGUAAAACAUAUUAAAUAAUGUGACAAUGACAAGUGCACCAUUUGCUAGACAUGUAAAGCAAAUAUUUCCUACCUUCCGUGUUUAUUUCUAGACCUAAUAUGUUUGUGUUUUUUAACUCUUAUUGCGGGCCGCUGCAGUGGCCCGCUAUAUUUAAUACGUGGUGAGUAAAAGGUUUAUGGAGACUUAAGAACUUGGUUGAAAAUAUGCGUCUCUUUUUCCUAAAAAAAAUCAAGUACUAUUGAGCUGAAAAUGUAGGUCACACAGUCAAUUUUUCCCUUGAAUACAUGAGUUGUCGUUCUUACCAUAAUGACAGUCUCGCCAUUAAAUAAACGGUGUUACUUUUGACAUUAAUAAUGUAGACACAGUCUAUUUUUUACAGAGUUGUCUUUCGUACGUUUGUUUUCGCAACGUUUCUGUGCACGUUCUAAAGUGCUGACGAGUUAGCUGACGAUACAGAAAUAGAGCAGAGCUGUUGACCAAUUGCUGACCAUAUAAACAAAGAAGGAAAAAAAUACGUUUUGAAAUUAUAGAUUUUUUAAGACUUAUUUUGUUUAAUCUAUUUUAUAGACUCCUUAAAGUGUACGUAAAGACGGAUGUUUGUGUAUUUUAUUGAAAAUGGCAGGUCAUUAAAAUGAAUUGAGUAUAAUUUUUUUGCUGGUUUGGUGAAAAGAUGAGAAGAUAUCACGGAUUAAAUUAUUUUUUAGGUGUUUCAUUUACAAUUGUUUGAACCAAUUAUUUUAAUUGUAAAUGUAGCUUUAAAUGUUAGCUUCACAACUUGUGGAAAACUAUCUGCACUACAUCAAAGAACGAUCGAAAGAUUUUUGUUUGCCAAUCCAUUAUUGAUUUUAGAAGUUGUUUUGUGGAAAACAAGGCAAAAUGUUGCUAUUAAAAGUGACUUUGCAUAGUGAAAACAGGUUUAUCAUACUCAAACAAAGUUGCAGUAUUAAAAACAAGUGACAUCAAUAUCUGAGUUGUUGUUAUUUUGCUUUCAAUGGUUUUUACAAAUGAACUAGUUCAUGUACAUGGAAAGGAAUUACUUUAAACCCAUUGAGAGCUGUGCUUGUGCAAGAACUGUAACUUUGGUUUGCCUUAGUUAUGUCUUUUCCAGAGUAAGCAAGAUACAUAUUGAUUUAGUGUUGUUUGUCUGUCAAAAAACUUUGUCCCCUGUAAAACUUAUAGUUGUACUGAAACCUUGAAGAAGUGUUUAAUAUAAACUGCAGUUGUGCAUAGACUAAUGUUUUACCAAAAUAGGUCUCUUUGAAUUCCUUCAUAGCCUUGACUCGACAUCAGCCAUCACCAGCUUCAAAAUAUUUACAUGGUAGAUCUGUUUGUGGGCCCGCUGUGAUACAUUGUAUCACAGUUUUUUUCUUCUUUUUUCAUUCUGUUUGACUCUAGGAAAUUCCUCAAAUAAUCAAGUACAAAACUAAACUUAACGAAGCCGCAUUGGCAACAUCAGAAAGAGAAACAGUGUAAGCUUAAUGAACAGACGGAUUGAUUAUAUUAAUUUAUAUUCCCAAAAUUAUCUUUUGUUAACUUUAUACCUCAUAUAUUUUGUUCGUUGUUUAUUUAUUAGUACACUACUGUUGUAUGCAGUUUAUAUUGGAGUAAAAUUGUUCAACUUA